GACGAACGCUGGCGGCGUGCUUAACACAUGCAAGUCGAACGGAAAGGCCCUGCUUUUGUGGGGUGCUCGAGUGGCGAACGGGUGAGUAACACGUGAGUAACCUGCCCUUGACUUUGGGAUAACUUCAGGAAACUGGGGCUAAUACCGGAUAGGAGCUCCUGCUGCAUGGUGGGGGUUGGAAAGUUUCGGCGGUUGGGGAUGGACUCGCGGCUUAUCAGCUUGUUGGUGGGGUAGUGGCUUACCAAGGCCUUGACGGGUAGCCGGCCUGCGAGGGUGACCGGCCACAUUGGAACGGAGAUGCGGCCCAGACUCCUACGGGAGGCAGCAGUGGGGAAUAUUGCACAAUGGGCGGAAGCCUAAUGCAGCAAAGCCGCGUGCGGGAUGACGGCCUUCGGGUUGUAAACCGCUUUCGCCUGUGACGAAGCGUGAAUGACGGUAAUGGGUAAAGAAGCACCGGCUAACUACGUG
RNAcentral lists this ribosomal RNA (468 nucleotides) under uncultured bacterium. RNAcentral's name for it is "partial 16S ribosomal RNA". It matches the Rfam family "Bacterial small subunit ribosomal RNA", at positions 28 to 507 of the family's 1533-position model. The record is from RNAcentral.